AUUGAACGCUGGCGGCAUGCUUUACACAUGCAAGUCGAACGGCAGCGGGGUAGUGCUUGCACUACUGCCGGCGAGUGGCGCACGGGUGAGUAAUAUAUCGGAACGUACCGAGUAAUGGGGGAUAACCAAUCGAAAGAUUGGCUAAUACCGCAUACGUCCUGAGGGAGAAAGCGGGGGAUCGCAAGACCUCGCGUUAUUCGAGCGGCCGAUAACUGAUUAGCUAGUUGGUGGGGUAAAGGCCUACCAAGGCGACGAUCAGUAUCGGGUCUGAGAGGACGAUCCGCCACACUGGGACUGAGACACGGCCCAGACUCCUACGGGAGGCAGCAGUGGGGAAUUUUGGACAAUGGGGGCAACCCUGAUCCAGCCAUGCCGCGUGUAUGAAGAAGGCCUUCGGGUUGUAAAGUACUUUUGUUAGGGAAGAAAAGGGAAGUGCUAAUACCACUUUUUGCUGACGGUACCUAAAGAAUAAGCACCGGCUAACUACGUG
Molecule: ribosomal RNA, 490 nt
Filed under: uncultured bacterium
Lineage: Bacteria
Description: partial 16S ribosomal RNA
Rfam family: Bacterial small subunit ribosomal RNA
Source: RNAcentral